GACGAACGCUGGCGGCGUGCUUAACACAUGCAAGUCGAACGGAAAGGCCCUUCGGGUGCUCGAGUGGCGAACGGGUGAGUAACACGUGGGUGAUCUGCCCUGCACUUUGGGAUAAGCCUGGGAAACUGGGUCUAAUACCGAAUAUGAUCAUCGGCUUCAUGGUCGGUGGUGGAAAGCUUUUGCGGUGUGGGAUGGGCCCGCGGCCUAUCAGCUUGUUGGUGGGGGAAUGGCCUACCAAGGCGACGACGGGUAGCCGGCCUGAGAGGGUGACCGGCCACACUGGGACUGAGAUACGGCCCGGACUACUACGGGAGGCAGCAGUGGGGAAUAUUGCGCAAUGGAGGAAACUCUGACGCAGCGACACCGCGUGUGGGAUGAAGAUCUUAGGAUUGUAAACCACUUUUAAUAGGGAAGCUCCGGCGUUUACGUCGGGGGACGGUACCUAUCGAAUAAGCACUUACUAACUACGUGCCAGCCGCCGCGGUAA
RNAcentral lists this ribosomal RNA (487 nucleotides) under uncultured bacterium. RNAcentral's name for it is "partial 16S ribosomal RNA". It matches the Rfam family "Bacterial small subunit ribosomal RNA", at positions 28 to 523 of the family's 1533-position model. The record is from RNAcentral.